AUGCUUUCACUUGCAGCCAUCCGGUGCUCUGCCUGAAAACCAGGACACUAGUUUCUGCAAAUAUGUUAAAUAAGCAGUGAUCUUACCCAGACAUUAAAAUAACCAAAGCAGAUUGAGCAUUUAACCCGUUGGUGAUGAAUUCAGUCUGUAAACGUUCAACCUGGUGGUGUUGUCUUUAAUGGUGCAACUAGUGAAGAAUGCAGGUGGGAAGAA
Molecule: long non-coding RNA, 213 nt
Filed under: Homo sapiens (human)
Lineage: Eukaryota; Metazoa; Chordata; Mammalia; Primates; Hominidae
Description: HSALNT0250205
Source: RNAcentral